RNAcentral lists this ribosomal RNA (207 nucleotides) under uncultured bacterium. Its description in RNAcentral is "partial 16S ribosomal RNA". It matches the Rfam family "Bacterial small subunit ribosomal RNA", at positions 568 to 774 of the family's 1533-position model. The record is from RNAcentral.
CGCGCAGGCGGCUCUUUAAGUCAGGCGUGAAAGCCCGGGGCUCAACCCCGGAAGUGCGUUUGAAACUAGAGAGCUCGAGUACGGGAGAGGGAAGUGGAAUUCCUGGUGUAGAGGUGAAAUUCGUAGAUAUCAGGAGGAACACCGGUGGCGAAGGCGACUUCCUGGACCGAUACUGACGCUGAGGCGCGAAAGCGUGGGGAGCAAACA